Molecule: ribosomal RNA, 497 nt
Filed under: uncultured bacterium
Lineage: Bacteria
Description: partial 16S ribosomal RNA
Rfam family: Bacterial small subunit ribosomal RNA
Source: RNAcentral
GAUGAACGCUGGCGGCGUGCCUAAUACAUGCAAGUCGAGCGAACGGACGAGAAGCUUGCUUCUCUGAUGUUAGCGGCGGACGGGUGAGUAACACGUGGAUAACCUACCUAUAAGACUGGGAUCACUUCGGGAAACCGGAACUAAUACCGGAUGAUAUUUUGAACCGCAUGGUUCAAAAGUGAAAGACGGUCUUGCUGUCACUUAUAGAUGGAUCCGCGCUGCAUUAGCUAGUUGGUAAGGUAACGGCUUACCAAGGCAACGAUGCAUAGCCGACCUGAGAGGGUGAUAGGCCACACUGGAACUGAGACACGGUCCAGACUCCUACGGGAGGCAGCAGUAGGGAAUCUUCCGCAAUGGGCGAAAGUCUGACGGAGCAACGCCGCGUGAGUGAUGAAGGUCUUCGGAUCGUAAAACUCUGUUAUUAGGGAAGAACAUAUGUGUAAGGAACUGUGCACAUCUUGACGGUACCUAAUCAGAAAGCCACGGCUAACUACGUG